GUCUAUGGCCAUACCACCGUGAAUGUGCCUGAUCUCCUCUCAUCUCGGAAGCUAAACAGGGUCAGGCCUGGUUAGUACUUGGAUGGGAGAAAAUGCCUGGUGGAUUUCUUUU
Non-coding RNA from Bos taurus (domestic cattle), 112 nucleotides. The record is from Rfam. Lineage: Eukaryota; Metazoa; Chordata; Mammalia; Artiodactyla; Bovidae.